UCCUGGCAGGAUGCAGAGCCCAGCACAGAAUGGGAAGAGCUUUUCCCCACCUGGAGGUGAGAAACUUGGCAGGACACAGCCCAGGAGGAGAAGGCCUCAAGCAAAGGCCCAGAGAGAAGAGGAGCCAUGGGAAAGCACUGCUCAGGAGGAGCUGUAAUCAGCCAGUACCUAUACAAGCACUGGAGUGGGCUGAGUAGCAUCCACCCCCCACCA
Molecule: long non-coding RNA, 213 nt
Filed under: Fukomys damarensis (Damara mole-rat)
Lineage: Eukaryota; Metazoa; Chordata; Mammalia; Rodentia; Bathyergidae
Description: lncRNA (ENSFDAG00000025111.1)
Source: RNAcentral